This 44-nucleotide unclassified non-coding RNA is filed under the name Escherichia coli. RNAcentral describes it as "naRNA4". The record is from RNAcentral. Lineage: Bacteria; Pseudomonadati; Pseudomonadota; Gammaproteobacteria; Enterobacterales; Enterobacteriaceae.
CCGAGCCGGUUGCCUGAUGCGACGCUGGCGCGUCUUAUCAGGCC